GAUGAACGCUGGCGGCGUGCUUAACACAUGCAAGUCGAGCGAGAAGUUUUGAAAAGAUUCUUCGGAUGAAAUUUAAAAUGGAAAGCGGCGGACGGGUGAGUAACGCGUAGGCAACCUGCCCCAUACAAAGGGAUAGCAUUUGGAAACGAAUAUUAAUACCUUAUGAAACUUAACUAGUGCAUGCUAGGUAGGUCAAAGAUUUAUCGGUAUGGGAUGGGCCUGCGUCUGAUUAGCUAGUUGGUGAGGUAACGGCUCACCAAGGCGACGAUCAGUAACCGACCUGGGAGGGUGAACGGCCACAUUGGAACUGAGACACGGUCCAAACUCCUACGGGAGACAGCAGUGGGGAAUAUUGCACAAUGGGGGAAACCCUGAUGCAGCAACGCCGCGUGAACGAUGAAGGCCUUUGGGUCGUAAAGUUCUGUUCUAGGUGAUGAAAACUGACAGUAACCGAGGAGAAAGCCCCGGCUAACUCCGUG
This 479-nucleotide ribosomal RNA is filed under the name uncultured bacterium. RNAcentral describes it as "partial 16S ribosomal RNA". It matches the Rfam family "Bacterial small subunit ribosomal RNA", at positions 28 to 507 of the family's 1533-position model. The record is from RNAcentral.